RNAcentral lists this transfer RNA (69 nucleotides) under Peltorhamphus novaezeelandiae (New Zealand sole). RNAcentral's name for it is "tRNA-Ala". It matches the Rfam family "tRNA". Rfam says of the family: Transfer RNA (tRNA) molecules are approximately 80 nucleotides in length. Lineage: Eukaryota; Metazoa; Chordata; Actinopteri; Pleuronectiformes; Rhombosoleidae. The record is from RNAcentral.
AAGGUUUUAGCUUAAUUAAAGUGUCUGCUUUGCAUGCAGAAGCUGUAGGUUAAUGUCCUGCAAGUCUUA